UUAUGUUGAAACACCAACAGAACAACCAGCCAACAGAACUAAGUGUUGAAUCCUGCUGCUUCUCAGCAUCUAUCUACUGAAUUUUAAGACCAGAACUCAUUUGGAAUUAUGAAAAUCCCAAUGCUAAUUUUGCUGAUUUCACCUGAGAAAAACAUCCUUCAUUAUUUCCCAUCUGUAACUCUGAAAGGGGAAUUUAAUUAUACUGUGUGGGGUUACCUGUUUUGCAGGUGUGCAGCCACUGAGACUAUGGCUCUAGCAGUCUUCUGCUGAAGUCCUAAAACAUCUGAUGCUGUAUUUGCACAGAAACAGAGCUAUGUUUGAGCAAGAUACUCAGUAAAAGUGUAGUAUUUAAACCUAAGACAGCAAGUUUGAUCAUGGGAUAUUAUCUAGAAGAAAUGUUAUAGUAGAAGAUUGUGUGGUUCUCUGACACAGCACCAGACUCAGCAGGUGUAGAACAAUCCGUGUGCAAGCCAUGAUUUGUCUUUGUCAAAAAGGUUUGAAAAAUGGUAAA
Manacus vitellinus (golden-collared manakin) is the source of this 511-nucleotide long non-coding RNA. RefSeq lists it as uncharacterized. Lineage: Eukaryota; Metazoa; Chordata; Aves; Passeriformes; Pipridae. The record is from RefSeq and is a predicted model, not a curated record. The transcript has 2 exons.